AAAAAUCAAAACGACGUCGUGUUAAUAGUGUUUGUUUUCAUAAAAAAAAAACAUAACGGGCUUAGGGCUAACUCGCGUUUCAUUUUAGCCGGCCCUAUUUUAACCCACACAAAACAAAACGGGUUUUGGAUUAAGAAAAUAGAUGCGGGCCGGGCUAACCCUAUUGGCAAAAGCCCAUAUUAACAUCCCUAGCUAAAAUGUUUGAUUGAUUUUGCAACAGAGUGGGACUCUGUUUACAGCUGGUGAGGAUCGGGCUAUAACAGCUUGGGACACAAAUAGGGGGAAGCUUGCUUAUUCCAUACAAGAUGCUCACCCAGCUCGGAUCAAAGGUGUCGUCACACUUACGAAGAAUGACAGUGACGGUGCGUCAGAAGAUCCGUAUUUGGUUGCUUCUGCAUCUUCUGAUGGGAUCAUACGUGUUUGGGACAUGCGAAUGGCGGCUAAAGAGAAUGCAAAACCAUUAGCCGAGACAAACACUAAAUCAAGGCUUACUUGUCUUGCCGGGUCAGCUCUUAAAUCUAUGAGACGGCCACAGAUUGGAAAUCAAAAAGCUCAGAAGCUAGAGGAAGGGCUGAACACAGAAUGAGAGCUGCUUAUUGACUACUAAAAGCUUUCGUGCUGACAACUAUCUGAUACAAGUUUUGGUAGAAUCUUAAAAUAUGAUCCAGUAUGUUUUUUGUCGAAUUACAAUCAAACAAUUUUGUUAAACCCUCAGAUUUGUGAAAGAAACCCAUACUUACUAUUUAUCA
This is a long non-coding RNA of Brassica napus (rape), 749 nucleotides long. RefSeq lists it as uncharacterized. Lineage: Eukaryota; Viridiplantae; Streptophyta; Magnoliopsida; Brassicales; Brassicaceae. The record is from RefSeq and is a predicted model, not a curated record. The transcript has 2 exons.